ACCCAGCUGAUGAGUCCCAAAUAGGACGAAAUGCGCGUCCUGGAU
This is a non-coding RNA of Schistosoma haematobium, 45 nucleotides long. NCBI's taxonomy places the organism in Eukaryota, Metazoa, Platyhelminthes, Trematoda, Strigeidida, Schistosomatidae. The record is from Rfam.